Molecule: ribosomal RNA, 745 nt
Filed under: Daptonema sp. 3 TJP-2019
Lineage: Eukaryota; Metazoa; Nematoda; Chromadorea; Monhysterida; Xyalidae
Description: SSU rRNA
Rfam family: Eukaryotic small subunit ribosomal RNA
Source: RNAcentral
UGGAUCUCCGCAUUACUUGGAUAACUGUGGUAAUUCUAGAGCUAAUACACGCAAUCGAGCCCCAACCUUACGGGACGGGCGCAUUUAUUAGUACAAAACCAAUCAGUGCUCGCACUGUGGUUUGGUGAAUCUGAAUAACUGAGCAGAUCGCUUCGGUCUUUGUACCGGCGAUGUAUCCUUCAAGUGUCUGCCUUAUCAACUUUCGAUGGUAGUUUAUGUGCCUACCAUGGUUGUAACGGGUAACGGAGAAUUAGGGUUCGACUCCGGAGAGGGAGCCUGAGAAACGGCUACCACUUCUAAGGAAGGCAGCAGGCGCGCAAAUUACCCACUCUCGGCACGAGGAGGUAGUGACGAAAAAUAACGAGAUGAUUCUCUAUGAGUAUCAUCAUCGGAAUGAGAACAAUCCAAACCCUUUAACGAGGACCUAGCGGAGGGCAAGUCUGGUGCCAGCAGCCGCGGUAAUUCCAGCUCCGCCAGUGUAUAUCUAUGCUGCUGCGGUUAAAAAGCUCGUAGUUGGAUCUGCGUGCUAGGAGCCGGUCCGCCUUUUGGGUGUGCACUGAACUCCAGCACUGAAUCGCUGGUUUUCCCUUAAUGCCUUUAACCGGGUGUUCUGGGUGACUAGCAUGUUUACUUUGAAAAAAUUAGAGUGCUCAAAACAAGCGUUUUGCUUGAAUAUUCGUGCAUGGAAUAAUAGAAUAGGACCUUGGUUCUAUUUUGUUGGUUUUCGGAACACGAGGUAAUGAUU